GAGAUUAUAUAGUAAAGAUGAUGAACCAGCUGUAAAACUACAACUACUACCACAUAAACAUGAUAUCAUCACACUUCUUGGUGUUGGAGGCCACUGGGUAACAACAGAAGAAAACCUUCAGUUGGAUCCUCCAGAUAGCCACUGCCUUUUCCUCAAGGGAGCAACGUUAGCUUUCCUGAAUGAUGAAGUUUGGAAUUUGUCAAAUGUACAACAGGGAAAAUAUCUUUACAGUAUUCCAAGUGCCUUGCAACUACGUAUCUUAAAGGAUGUGAUGGAGAAGUUAUCAACUGGUGUUUUCAGACCUCAGUUGGAUGAACCCAUUCCACUGUAUGAGGCAAAAGUUUCCAUGGAAGCUGUUCAGAAAAAUCAAGGAAGAAAAAAGCAAGUUGUUCAAUUUUAAUUUUCUUCUUUCUCAGACCUCAGUCGGAUGAACAUAUUCCAGUAUUUGAAGCC
Molecule: long non-coding RNA, 453 nt
Filed under: Homo sapiens (human)
Lineage: Eukaryota; Metazoa; Chordata; Mammalia; Primates; Hominidae
Description: HSALNT0272948
Source: RNAcentral